AUUGAACGCUGGCGGCAGGCCUAACACAUGCCAGUCGAGCGGAUGAAGGGAGCUUGCUCCUGGAUUCAGCGGCGGACGGGUGAGUAAUGCCUAGGAAUCUGCCUGGUAGUGGGGGAUAACGUCCGGAAACGGGCGCUAAUACCGCAUACGUCCUGAGGGAGAAAGUGGGGGAUCUUCGGACCUCACGCUAUCAGAUGAGCCUAGGUUGGAUUAGCUAGUUGGUGGGGUAAAGGCCUACCAAGGCGACGAUCCGUAACUGGUCUGAGAGGAUGAUCAGUCACACUGGAACUGAGACACGGUCCAGACUCCUACGGGAGGCAGCAGUGGGGAAUAUUGGACAAUGGGCGAAAGCCUGAUCCAGCCAUGCCGCGUGUGUGAAGAAGGUCUUCGGAUUGUAAAGCACUUUAAGUUGGGAGGAAGGGCAGUAAGUUAAUACCUUGCUGUUUUGACGUUACCAACAGAAUAAGCACCGGCUAACUUCGUG
This 484-nucleotide ribosomal RNA is filed under the name uncultured bacterium. RNAcentral's name for it is "partial 16S ribosomal RNA". It matches the Rfam family "Bacterial small subunit ribosomal RNA", at positions 30 to 507 of the family's 1533-position model. The record is from RNAcentral.